AGUAUAAGAGGUCCCGCACCUGCCCUGUGACAUAUAUGUUUAACAGCGCCGCAGGUAUAUUUGACACGUGCGAAGGUAGCAGCAAUCACUUCUGUCAUCUUUAAAAUGGGGACACCUGUAUGAAUGGCAUAACGAGGGCUUGACUUGUCUCCUCUUUCAAGUCAAAUGAAAUUGAUCUCCCCGUGCAGAAGCGGGGGUAAACACAUAAGACGAGAAGACCCUAUGGAGCUUUAGACACUAAAGCAGAUCAGCAUUAAUACCCUUAACAAUAGGACGCGAAUCAACUGACCCCUGCCCUAAUGUCUUUGGUUGGGGCGACCGCGGAGAAAUAAAAAACCCCCGCAAGGACCGAAUGUACCACAUUCACAACCAAGAGCGACAGCUCUAAUUAACAGAAUUUCUGACCAAUAAGAUCCGGCAACGCCGAUCAAUGAACCGAGUUACCCUAGGGAUAACAGCGCAAUCUCCUCUUAGAGUCCAUAUCGACGAGGAGGUUUACGACCUCGAUGUUGGAUCAGGACAUCCUAAUGGUGCAGCCGCUAUUAAGGGUUCGUUUGUUCAACGAU
RNAcentral lists this ribosomal RNA (566 nucleotides) under Mycteroperca prionura (sawtail grouper). RNAcentral describes it as "partial 16S ribosomal RNA". It matches the Rfam family "Bacterial large subunit ribosomal RNA", at positions 1842 to 2588 of the family's 2925-position model. The record is from RNAcentral. Lineage: Eukaryota; Metazoa; Chordata; Actinopteri; Perciformes; Serranidae.